UCCGUAGGCGGGCAGCUAAGUCAGUGGUGAAAGCCUGCAGCUCAACUGUAGAAUUGCCAUUGAUACUGGUUGUCUUGAAUUAUUAUGAAGUGGUUAGAAUAUGUAGUGUAGCGGUGAAAUGCAUAGAUAUUACAUAGAAUACCAAUUGCGAAGGCAGAUCACUAAUAAUAUAUUGACGCUGAUGGACGAAAGCGUGGGGAGCGAACAGGAUUAGAUACCCUGGUAGUCC
RNAcentral lists this ribosomal RNA (229 nucleotides) under uncultured bacterium. Its description in RNAcentral is "partial 16S ribosomal RNA". It matches the Rfam family "Bacterial small subunit ribosomal RNA", at positions 568 to 796 of the family's 1533-position model. The record is from RNAcentral.